Molecule: small RNA, 131 nt
Filed under: Spisula solidissima (Atlantic surf clam)
Lineage: Eukaryota; Metazoa; Mollusca; Bivalvia; Venerida; Mactridae
Source: RNAcentral
UUAGAAUGAAGAAAAUAAAAGUUAUUUGAUGAGAAAAUUCGAAUGGCCAUAACUUGGUUAUAACUUGGUUAUUACUUUGAAUUUUUUCAUCAAAUAACUUUUAUUUUCUUCAUUCUUUCUUGUGCAGCAGC